UACUCCUACGGGAGGCAGCAGUGAGGAAUAUUGGUCAAUGGACGCAAGUCUGAACCAGCCACGUCGCGUGAAGGAAGACGGCCCUACGGGUUGUAAACUUCUUUUGUAAGGGAAUAAAGUGAGUCACGUGUGACUUUUUGCAUGUACCUUACGAAUAAGGAUCGGCUAACUCCGUGCCAGCAGCCGCGGUAAUACGGAGGAUCCGAGCGUUAUCCGGAUUUAUUGGGUUUAAAGGGUGCGCAGGCGGGAGAUUAAGUCGGCGGUGAAAUUUUGCAGCUCAACUGUAAAAGUGCCAUCGAUACUGGUUUUCUUGAGUGUGGAUGAAGUAGGCGGAAUUUGUGGUGUAGCGGUGAAAUGCAUAGAUAUCACAAGGAACACCGAUUGCGCAGGCAGCUUACUAAACCAUAACUGACGCUCAGGCACGAAGGCGUGGGGAGCAAACAGGAUUAGAUACCCUGGUAGUCCACGCAGUAAACGAUGAUUACUAGCUGUUUGCGAUACAAUGUAAGCGGCUGAGCGAAAGCGUUAAGUAAUCCACCUGGGGAGUACGUUCGCAAGAAUGAAACUCAAAGGAAUUGACGGGGGCCCGCACAAGCGGAGGAACAUGUGGUUUAAUUCGAUGAUACGCGAGGAACCUUACCCGGGCUUGAAAUGCAUCUGACCGGCCUUGAAAGAGGUUUUCCCUUCGGGGCAGAUGUGUAGGUGCUGCAUGGUUGUCGUCAGCUCGUGCCGUGAGGUGUCGGCUUAAGUGCCAUAACGAGCGCAACCCUCAUCAUUAGUUACCAUCNNGUAANGCUGGGGACUCUAAUGAGACUGCCAUCGUAAGAUGCGAGGAANGGNGGGGAUGACGUCAAAUCAGCACGGCCCUUACGUCCGGGGCGACNCACGUGUUAC
Molecule: ribosomal RNA, 894 nt
Filed under: uncultured bacterium
Lineage: Bacteria
Description: bacterial SSU rRNA
Rfam family: Bacterial small subunit ribosomal RNA
Source: RNAcentral